This is a long non-coding RNA of Thalassophryne amazonica, 1657 nucleotides long. RefSeq lists it as uncharacterized. The transcript is spliced from 3 exons. NCBI's taxonomy places the organism in Eukaryota, Metazoa, Chordata, Actinopteri, Batrachoidiformes, Batrachoididae. The record is from RefSeq and is a predicted model, not a curated record.
GAUGACUGGACAUGCUUGACAUUAGGUCCUUUCAAACAAGUGGUUAAUUAGGGAGACACAGAUGAGGAGUAUCACUUGCAUUAUGAGGGAUGACCAGCUAUGACAUUUUGUGCAUGCAUCUGCCUCAGUGUUGAGGACCACAGCGGCUGGAGAAGGCCAAGAGCAUGCCCAUGUAUCACCUGGGUGCAGCAGAUAGAUUGCUCCUUUAAGGAGAUGGAACCAGGUGUCUGGCUGGACGGUUGUCAUCCAGGACCAAGGGUGGCUUUGUAGUGUGAUGGAAGCAGCGCCGUGUAACAGCUCUGACCUGAUCACAUAACUCCUGUGAUGGAGGUAAAUAACAUUUUUAAAUAUACAGAAAUAAAAUCAGUCACUGUGCAGUUGUGUUUGUAUUUGCGCUUGCUGCGUGACACACUGGCGAUAUUCUCAAUUGUACAACACGGUCAUUUAUGACGGGUCAUUAAUGAUGCUUGCACGUCAAGUGUAGUGUUUAUGCUCCGUCUCACAGAACAGACAGCCGAUCACUGAGGCCAAAUUAGAUUUAGUUUCAUUUCUGAAUUUCCCUCUGGGCUUCAUGAUUCUGUUAUCUGACAAGUACAAGUGCAGCUGUGUAUCUCGUAGCACAGAUAUUGUAUUAAAGCAAGUGUUAGCAUCUGAACAGACUGAGCAGGUCAACAGAAACAGCAACAACAACAAAAAGAUGCAUUAAAAAUAGCACACAGUAUUAAAUAUGCAACCUGCUGUGUCUCCACGUGUGCAGCCAAAGGUUCGGGUGUGCAUGCAGGUUUUAUGCUUUCAUUGUUUUGUGUCAUUAUUAUCUGUCUGUCUCUCUCUUUCUGCGCACUGUAGAUUAGUUUGGUUGUGUGAAGCAUCCAGCUGUGUCGUCACAAGAAGUGUUCUAAUCACGGUAGUGCAUUCUUGUAAUUGGCAAACCUCUCCGCUACAGGUUCAUAUAGCAUGUUUCAUGUCACUCCAGCUGCAGGUUGCAGUUCUGACGGAGCAACGCCAUAAAUCCUUUAAUCAAUUUUAUGAUGGUAUGAUUGCUGUACACACAGGAUGAAGCAGUAAUGCCGGCCUCUCAGGUUCACGAGACUCCCGGGCUUCAUAUUUUCUCUCUAUUCUCAUCCUAUUACAGAUUCUGACCCUCCCCCUCCAUCCCCACUUUCUGCUGUAGCCUCCCUGCCAGCCACCCCCCCACCCCGUCUCUCUUUUCUCUCUCACACUGAACUCACUGCACCCUUAUUCACUCCCUCAUUCUAUCUCACACACGUUCACACACACACACACACACACACACACACUUGCACAUAGCUCACAGACUUGGAAGAGAGGGGUGGGGUGGGGGGGAGGGUUACCGGGGUAGGAGAGAUGCUUGAAAACCACGAGACGAAAAGAGAGAUGGAAGGAUGGCGACUAGAGUGUAAAGGAGGGAGACAGAAAAGGAAGAAAAAAAAAGAUUUUGAAGUAUGCACACGUGAAGCUCUCCAGAAGCAAGAGACAGGCAACCAGAGGAUGAGACGGUGAAAGCAACUCGGAGGGUUUGUGUCCAUCUGCAAGAAGCCCUGCAGAAACAAAAGUGGGCUUGCUGUCUGGCCCCAGCACAGACCGUCAGAGAGCGCGCUGCUUCACAACAGAGGGAACGCAUGCUGGCACUGAUUUA